GAUGAACGCUGGCGGCGUGCUUAACACAUGCAAGUCGAACGGAAAGGCCCGGCGUUUGUGGGUUUCACGUGUGGCGAACGGGUGAGUAACACGUGAGGAACCUGCCCUUGACUUUGGGGUAUCUUCAGGAAACUGGGGCUAAUACCGGAGAGGAGCUACUGCUGCAUGUGGUGGGUUGGAGAGAUUCGGCGGUGGGGGAUGGACUCGCGGCUUAUCAGCUUGUUUGGGGGGUAGUGGCUUACCAAGGCUUUGACGGGUAGCCGGCCUGAGAGGGUGACAGGCCACAUUGGGACUGAGAUGCGGCAGAGACUCCUACGGGAGCGAGAAGUGGGGAAUACUGCAGAAUGGGCGGCAGCCUGAUGCAGCAACGCCGCGUGCGGGAUGACGGCCUUCGGAUUGUAAAACAAUUUCGCAUGUGACGAAGCGUGAGUGAAGGUAAUGGGUAAAGAAGCCCCGGCUAAAUAAGUG
This 468-nucleotide ribosomal RNA is filed under the name uncultured bacterium. RNAcentral's name for it is "partial 16S ribosomal RNA". It matches the Rfam family "Bacterial small subunit ribosomal RNA", at positions 28 to 507 of the family's 1533-position model. The record is from RNAcentral.